GACGAACGCUGGCGGUAUGCUUAACACAUGCAAGUCGAACGAGAAGUCUUUUAUUGAACCUUCGGGGGAUAUAAGGGACAGACAGUGGCGAACGGGUGAGUAACGCGUGGGCAACCUACCUAUCGGAGCGGGAUAGCCUCGAGAAAUCGGGAGUAAAACCGCAUAACACGGAUAUAUCGCAUGAUGAAUCCGUCAAAACUCCGGUGCCGAUAGAUGGGCCCGCGUCUGAUUAGCUAGUUGGUAAGGUAAGGGCUUACCAAGGCAACGAUCAGUAGCCGGUCUGAGAGGGCGAACGGCCACACUGGAACUGAGACACGGUCCCAGACUUCCUACGGGGAGGGCAAGCAGUGGGGGAAUUAUUGCGCCAAAUGGGGGGCCAACCCC
This 384-nucleotide ribosomal RNA is filed under the name Pseudoramibacter alactolyticus. RNAcentral's name for it is "bacterial SSU rRNA". It matches the Rfam family "Bacterial small subunit ribosomal RNA", at positions 28 to 384 of the family's 1533-position model. The record is from RNAcentral. Lineage: Bacteria; Bacillati; Bacillota; Clostridia; Eubacteriales; Eubacteriaceae.